GAUGUGAAAUCCCCGGGCUCAACCGGGGAGUCUCAUUCGAAACUGGCAGUCUAGAGUCAGUAGAGGAGAGUAGAUUUCCAGGUGUAGCGGUAAAAUGCGUAGAGAUGUGGAGGAACACCAGUGGAGAAGGCGGCUCUCUGGUCAAAGACUGACGCUCAGGUGAGAAAGCGUGGGGAGCAAACAGGAUUAGAUACCCUGGUAGUCCACGCUGUAAACGAUGUGGACUGAGUGUUAGUGCCUUUGCGGCCUGGAGUCCGGAGUUAACCGCUUAACUCUCCCCCCUGGGGGUUUCGGCUCCAAGGUUAAAAUUUAAAGGAAUUGGCGGGGGCCCCCCCAAGGGGGGGGCCCUUGGGUUUAAUUGGAGGGAACCGGAAAAACCUUACCUAUUUUUGCCUUCCAUGGAACUUCCCGGGGAAGAGUGGUUUCCUUUGGGAGAUAGAGUGCCAGGUGGUCCAUGGUUUUGUUCAGUUGGUGUCGUGAGAUGUGGGGUUAAUUCCCGCAACGAGCCCACCCUUUGCUUUUAGUUCCCAGCAUUCAGCUGGGCACUCUAAGGAGACUGCCGGUGACAAACCGGAGGAAGGUGGGGAUGACGUCAAGUCAUCAUGCCCCUUAUGACUUGGGCUACACACGUGCUACAAUGGA
Molecule: ribosomal RNA, 642 nt
Filed under: Bacillus licheniformis
Lineage: Bacteria; Bacillati; Bacillota; Bacilli; Caryophanales; Bacillaceae
Description: partial 16S ribosomal RNA
Rfam family: Bacterial small subunit ribosomal RNA
Source: RNAcentral